ACAGGAUGGUGCAGUCGAGUAUGCAUUGAGCCCAAGGUCUGGGAGCAAUAACAUAAUUUUGCAAGUCAUGAUGGAGACUAAGAAAAUUCGACAGCAUAUACAUCAAAUGGAAUGGUUGACUGACACAAAUGCAAUUCCACAAAUUCUAUAGAUCCAUUUCAUGAACUUGCAAGUAAAUGUAAUUCUAUAAAAAAACUGUUAUGGGUACAAUUCAGUGUGCUGUUGUUCUUUUUGUAUUGUAAAAAGUGGGCUUUAAGAUUUAAGAAGGAGGUUCCAUAACGUAUCAGUAGAAAAGUCACACAGGAAAGUGAAGAGAGACUUUUGAAAAUGUUUCUGAAAGAUUGGCAAGGUAGGAAUGGAGCCUUUAAAAAAAAUCCCUUUUAUAUUUACACGUCACUUGGUAGAUCUGUAGACAAAGGCUCGUAUUACAUUUGAGUGCCAUGUGCUCUUCAAAUGAGGAAGAGAACCCCUCCAUGGGCAAAAUUUCACAGAUGAUUUUUACUUUUUUUCCUAAAAGUGAAGAGGGUUCAAGUUGAACCCUUCAUUAUUGUGUGUGUUACUUUUGAGAUUACUAGCGAGCAACUUUUGUCCUUUAGAUCGUUGUUAUUUAUAUACAUUGUAGCAUCAAGCAUUUAAAUUUAUCCACCAAUACCUCAUUUUGUUAUGCUGUUACUGAUUUUCUUCAUUAAAGUUUCCUCAUAUGCGAGAACUGAAUGUUUAGUUGUAAGCAGGUAUUGAUUGGUGUCUAGAUAUAAAAUUUAACUUUCACCAGUUUUGAGUAAAUGUGCUCUUUAAAGAAAUAUCCAUACUCAAGUGACUCCCAUGGUUGAUAAAUGGAAAUUCCAGGGGGGUAGGGGCAGGGAGGUUUUAUCUGAACCCUUGGUAUACUGGGGUAUGGAAUUUUACUGUAUUAACUCCAAAUGAUUUGCUUGUAGCAACAGUUUUUCUACAAUUGUACUGAUUAGGAAAUUUGAAAACAUUGUUCAUCAUACAAUUAAAUCCUCU
Molecule: long non-coding RNA, 1005 nt
Organism: Pocillopora damicornis (cauliflower coral)
Lineage: Eukaryota; Metazoa; Cnidaria; Anthozoa; Scleractinia; Pocilloporidae
Source: RefSeq, a predicted model, not a curated record